CCGGAGCUAACGCGUUAAAUCGACCGCUGGGGAGUACGGCCGCAAGGUUAAAACUCAAAUGAAUUGACGGGGGCCCGCACAAGCGGUGGAGCAUGUGGUUUAAUUCGAUGCAACGCGAAGAACCUUACCUGGUCUUGACAUCCAUAGAAUCUUUCAGAGAUGAGAGAGUGCCUUCGGGAGCUAUGAGACAGGUGCUGCAUGGCUGUCGUCAGCUCGUGUUGUGAAAUGUUGGGUUAAGUCCCGCAACGAGCGCAACCCUUAUCCUUUGUUGCCAGCGGUUCGGCCGGGAACUCAAAGGAGACUGCCGUUGAUAAAGCGGAGGAAGGUGGGGACGACGUCAAGUCAUCAUGGCCCUUACGACCAGGGCUACACACGUGCUACAAUGGCGUAUACAAAGGGAAGCGAAGGAGCGAUCUGGAGCGGACCUCCUAAAGUACGUCUAAGUCCGGAUUGGAGUCUGCAACUCGACUCCAUGAAGUCGGAAUCGCUAGUAAUCGUGAAUCAGAAUGUCACGGUGAAUACGUUCCCGGGCCUUGUACACACCGCCCGUCACACCAUGGGAGUGGGUUGCACCAGAAGUAGAUAGCUUAACCGAAAGGGGGGCGUUUACCACGGUGUGAUUCAUGACUGGGGUGAAGUCGUAACAAGGUAACCA
RNAcentral lists this ribosomal RNA (655 nucleotides) under uncultured Enterobacteriaceae bacterium. RNAcentral's name for it is "bacterial SSU rRNA". It matches the Rfam family "Bacterial small subunit ribosomal RNA", at positions 846 to 1502 of the family's 1533-position model. Lineage: Bacteria; Pseudomonadati; Pseudomonadota; Gammaproteobacteria; Enterobacterales; Enterobacteriaceae. The record is from RNAcentral.